This is a non-coding RNA of Pelobates cultripes (western spadefoot toad), 218 nucleotides long. The record is from the annotation of a GenBank genome assembly. Lineage: Eukaryota; Metazoa; Chordata; Amphibia; Anura; Pelobatidae.
GUAAUCAAAAAUUUUAUUACAAAAAAAAGGGAUACUAUACCCCUUAUAAAAUAAAAUACAAAUAAGUAUGCAGUAAAAAAAUUAAGUAAUUAUAACUUAAUAUAGGUGGGCAUAAAAAGUAUCAUACACUCCUUCCCAGAACGCGUUUCACCAUAACUCCGACGGCUUCCUCAGCUGGGUCCGAUGUGUCUUUCCAAUCUGGUAAAGUCCUGCAAAUA